GUGCUCAAUUUGGCAGCACAUAUACUAAAAUUGGAGUGACACAGAGAUUAGCACAGCCCCUGUGCGAGGUUGACAUGCAAACUCCUGACAUGCUCCAUAUUUUC
Molecule: non-coding RNA, 104 nt
Organism: Canis lupus familiaris (dog)
Lineage: Eukaryota; Metazoa; Chordata; Mammalia; Carnivora; Canidae
Source: Rfam